GCCUCGGUAGCUCAGCCUGGUGGAGCGCCUGCUUGGUAAGCAGGAGGUCGCGGGAUCGUAGCCCGCCCGAGGCU
This 74-nucleotide transfer RNA is filed under the name Methanobacteriota archaeon. Its description in RNAcentral is "Euryarchaeota archaeon (groundwater metagenome) tRNA-Thr". It matches the Rfam family "tRNA". From Rfam's summary of the family: Transfer RNA (tRNA) molecules are approximately 80 nucleotides in length. Lineage: Archaea; Methanobacteriati; Methanobacteriota. The record is from RNAcentral. RNAcentral also lists the same sequence under 1 other name.